GUGGGGAAUAUUGGACAAUGGGCGCAAGCCUGAUCCAGCCAUGCCGCGUGAGUGAUGAAGGCCCUAGGGUUGUAAAGCUCUUUCACCGGUGAAGAUAAUGACGGUAACCGGAGAAGAAGCCCCGGCUAACUUCGUGCCAGCAGCCGCGGUAAUACGAAGGGGGCUAGCGUUGUUCGGAAUUACUGGGCGUAAAGCGCACGUAGGCGGGUAUUUAAGUCAGGGGUGAAAUCCCAGAGCUCAACUCUGGAACUGCCUUUGAUACUGGGUACCUAGAGUAUGGAAGAGGUGAGUGGAAUUCCGAGUGUAGAGGUGAAAUUCGUAGAUAUUCGGAGGAACACCAGUGGCGAAGGCGGCUCACUGGUCCAUUACUGACGCUGAGGUGCGAAAGCGUGGGGAGCAAACAGGAUUAGAAACCCCGGUAGUCC
Molecule: ribosomal RNA, 425 nt
Filed under: uncultured bacterium
Lineage: Bacteria
Description: partial 16S ribosomal RNA
Rfam family: Bacterial small subunit ribosomal RNA
Source: RNAcentral